UACAGAGGGGGCGAGCGUUGUUCGGAAUUACUGGGCGUAAAGGGCGCGUAGGCGGCCCGCUAAGUCGAACGUGAAAUCCCCAGGCUCAACCUGGGAACUGCGUCCGAUACUGGCAGGCUUGAAUCCGGGAGAGGGAUGUGGAAUUCCAGGUGUAGCGGUGAAAUGCGUAGAUAUCUGGAGGAACACCGGUGGCGAAGGCGGCAUCCUGGGACCCAUAACUGACGCUGAGGCGCGAAAGCUAGGG
Molecule: ribosomal RNA, 244 nt
Filed under: uncultured bacterium
Lineage: Bacteria
Description: partial 16S ribosomal RNA
Rfam family: Bacterial small subunit ribosomal RNA
Source: RNAcentral